This 554-nucleotide ribosomal RNA is filed under the name uncultured Actinomycetes bacterium. RNAcentral describes it as "bacterial SSU rRNA". It matches the Rfam family "Bacterial small subunit ribosomal RNA", at positions 519 to 1070 of the family's 1533-position model. The record is from RNAcentral. Lineage: Bacteria; Bacillati; Actinomycetota; Actinomycetes.
GGUAAUACAGUAGGGCGCAAGCGUUAUCCGGAAUUAUUGGGCGUAAAGAGCUCGUAGGCGGUUUGUCGCGUCUGCUGUGAAAUCCCGAGGCUCAACCUCGGGCCUGCAGUGGGUACGGGCAGACUAGAGUGCGGUAGGGGAGAUUGGAAUUCCUGGUGUAGCGGUGGAAUGCGCAGAUAUCAGGAGGAACACCGAUGGCGAAGGCAGAUCUCUGGGCCGUAACUGACGCUGAGGAGCGAAAGGGUGGGGAGCAAACAGGCUUAGAUACCCUGGUAGUCCACCCCGUAAACGUUGGGAACUAGUUGUGGGGACCAUUCCACGGUUUCCGUGACGCAGCUAACGCAUUAAGUUCCCCGCCUGGGGAGUACGGCCGCAAGGCUAAAACUCAAAGGAAUUGACGGGGACCCGCACAAGCGGCGGAGCAUGCGGAUUAAUUCGAUGCAACGCGAAGAACCUUACCAAGGCUUGACAUAUACGAGAACGGGCCAGAAAUGGUCAACUCUUUGGACACUCGUAAACAGGUGGUGCAUGGUUGUCGUCAGCUCGUGCUGUGA